GAUAUAUAUGUGUGUGUGUGUGUGUGUGUGUGUGUGUGUGUGUGUAUACAUACACACAUAUAUAUAUUUGCAUUUAUGUAUGUUAUAUAC
Molecule: microRNA precursor, 90 nt
Filed under: Ovis aries (sheep)
Lineage: Eukaryota; Metazoa; Chordata; Mammalia; Artiodactyla; Bovidae
Description: miRNA (ENSOARG00000022514.1)
Source: RNAcentral